Durio zibethinus is the source of this 2749-nucleotide non-coding RNA. The record is from RefSeq and is a predicted model, not a curated record. NCBI's taxonomy places the organism in Eukaryota, Viridiplantae, Streptophyta, Magnoliopsida, Malvales, Malvaceae.
UCGCUCUCGAAUGUUUUCUGGGGCCUCAGAAAUCGCAACCGCCUCAAUUUGACCCAAAAAAUUACAAAUCACCUAAAAUACCCUUAUUCGUGUACCUUCACUCCAACUUAACGUCUCUGGAAACGAAGACUUAUUUGUAAUUUCAAAAAAGUUUCCCCAGUCCUACUUACAUACGGAUUUCGGGCUUUCGACGCGUUUAUAUAACGCGUGUUCUGAUUAUUUCAUUGUCGAUUCCAGCAGUUGUGAAUUUUUUGAGCAAUUUUUUUUUUUAUUUAUAGUUACAAGAUAUUCAAAUGGCUGAAAGAGGAGCAGCAACAGCGACGAUGACGACGAAGAAUGUGGUGGAAUCUGUUAUGGUUAGGGCUCCUCCUCCUCCACCGCCAUCAUUCUCUUCAUCGAAAAGUCCAGGAAGACGCAUCGGCGGCGGCGGCUGCUGCGGCCUUCAAUCUCGUUGCUCGAAACGGUUUUUCUCUCAGAAUAACGGGAAUUUCGAACGAAGCGCCGUUCCGUCGCGGUUCAUGUAUUAUCGCAAUAGUAUUUGGGUGAAUUUCUCUGCUGAUGUUGUUGAAACGCUGCGAACCGGUUUUUUGGAGCGGAGACCGAUUGUCGAAGCGUGGAUCGACGGUGCGAAGUAUAUAUUUGAUUUGAAGAGGAUGCUGCAGAUCGAUUACCUGACAGGAAAUUGCCGGUCAAUCUCUUGGAUCGAUGAAAAUGGUAAGUGUUUUUUCCCUAAUGAUUUUUUCAGCGAAGAAGAAGUUAUGGAAUCCGCAUAUGGAAACGAAAAAGAUCAUAUUAUUAAUUACAAUUACAAAAAUAAGAAUAGUAAUUGCAAUCCUAAGAUUGAGAUUGAAGUUAAGACUGAUAGAGCUUCAUUAAAGAGAAAGCGAGAGGAGGAGCCUGAAGUGAGUUCCUCUUGCAAAGCCGUGGGAGCAGUAGAUGUGAUUAAACAUCAGCGUUUGAAGGAAGGAGGAGCUGCUAAAUGGCCGAAUACGAAGCUGUUGAGAGAAACAGAGAGAGCAUAUGUGCUCGUUAAGGAUCAUAUCUUGAACGGAAUAAGGAAAGUUGAUGCUGGGGUUACAAUUACUUCAAUUCAUCAGUGUAUGCACGAAGGGCAUUUGAAUAAGGCUCGUCUUGAGGUUUUUCAGAAGCAGAUUGAGAUUACUAAGGCUGCAAGAGGCACUUCAAAUUUGGUGUAUGCAUGGUAUGGGGCCUCCGCCAAGGUUGUGGAGAGUAUUUUGGCUCAUGGGUUUGGGAUGCCCAGUAAGGUUCCCACGACUGUUUACGGGAUUGGCGUUUAUUUGUCUCCUGUAGGGUUCCCACACUUGAGUGCAAAGCUGGCAAAUGCUGAUAAUGAUGGUAUAAAACAUCUUAUUCUGUGCCGGGUUAUAUUGGGAAAUGUUGAAAAAGUGGAAGCUGGAUCUCAACAGUAUCACCCAUCUAGUUUGGAUUUUGACACUGCUUCUGAUGAUCCUAAGAACCCAGAGUGGUAUGUGGUAUGGUCAACUAAUGCAAACAUGCAUAUUCUUCCUGAGAGUGUUGUGAGCUUUAGACCUUCUAGUAACAUGCAAGGUCAACCGAGGCCGCUACCGGGUGUUAAGUAUUCCCUUGAAAAAUUGUUUUCGAAGAUUAAGAGCUCUCUUCCUCCUGCCAAAGUCCAGGAAAUAUGGAUUUCAUACACCUCAUAUAAGGCUGGAACGCUCGCCAAGGAUGCCUUUAUAAGUCAAUUACGACUGGUUGCUGGGGAUGAGAAUCAGACCUAUUUAAUGAGGGAGACCCACUUGAGUGAGAAACUAAGCCAUGUUAAGUGAGCACUGUGCUUGUUUUGUUAAGGAGGUUAUUCAGCCACAACAAGAUUGUGGAAGCUGCCCAAGGCAUGCAAAAUGACAGGGGGUUUUGGCAAACGGAUAAACAAGCACAAAGCUAUCAGAUGCUGAUGAUAAUGGCGUAAAACAUCUUAUACUGUGCCGGGUUAAAUUAGGAAAUGUUGAAAAAGUGGAAGCAGGAUCUCAAUAGUAUCGCCCAUCUAGUGUGGAUUUUACACUGCUGAUGAUCCUAAGAACCCAAAGUGGUAUGUGGUAUGGUUGACUACUGUGAGCAGGCAUAUUCUACCCGAGUGUGUGGGGAGUUUCAGAUCAUCUGGUAACAUGCAAUUUAAACUUCUUUGCUCUCCUUGGUAUCCUUUUUUUUCUUUCAUAUUUUUUGGUCGCUUUCUUGUUAGUGAGCCUAAGCUAUUAUCUAGUGGCAACUUUUCCCAUUCCAGAUUGCUUUCAAAGACUUUCAGCACUCUUCGCCCAAGUAAGGGAAUUUAUUACUUUACACUGUAAAUUGAAGGAUCUUGCAUGCGUGACACCUGUUAAAGGACAUUAAGGGUAUUUUAAUUUGUAUCAAAUGAAGUGGAAUACCGACGGUGCAACCCACUGAUUUAAAGCCAAAUCCAUGCCUUGAUUGCUUGGAAAAGCACAAAAAAAGAACAAUUAAGUAAAAAACAAAUGGUCGUCCCUCAGUUUACUUGUGAUUUAAGUAAUAAUCUUUGUUUGUCUUUUUUGUUUUGUCUUCUUCCUCAGGCACGUUUUACUUGUUUCUCUCAACAAGCGAUUAACCCAGAAAUUGGUUGAAAUUUGUUUCGAAGUAAUUUUUUUUUUCAUAAAAGUUUAGGUUGCUGGGGACGUUUUUUAAUCGAAGAUUACAGUAGAUCGUACGUUAUAGAAGAUUAAAUCUGCUAAUUUUAUAUAUACGAUGAUACAUACGA